Long non-coding RNA from Bombus terrestris (buff-tailed bumblebee), 729 nucleotides. RefSeq lists it as uncharacterized. The transcript has 2 exons. The record is from RefSeq and is a predicted model, not a curated record. NCBI's taxonomy places the organism in Eukaryota, Metazoa, Arthropoda, Insecta, Hymenoptera, Apidae.
GUAAGGAUCUUUCGUUUAUUUUAGUCGCUCUAUCUCCGCUAGUUUGCAGACUAAGAAAAACCGAGUUUAAAGUUGACGAACUUCUAUACGAUCGUGCGAAGUUAAGAUUUGAAAGAACCACAUAUUCGUUGCUCUCCAGAUGGAGUUAGAACAAUUAUUAAUUAGGCGAAAAUUAACAGUUAAAAUUACGGACGAAUCGAGUCGCUAUGGUUUUCAUUCCUUGUUCGUCAGGAGCCUCGCUAAGGAAGCACGUCUUCGUCGGUGAAGCUUAUAGCAUGGUCGCGAAGAAGCUUAUUUUUCAAUUGGAAUCAUAAAUUAUUAAGCAAUAACAUAGAAAUUUGCUUCAUCCCACGCUCAAUCGCCAAGGACGUGUCGUAAACUCGGUAUCUCCGCAGGGUAAUUUGGAAUUAUAUUACAGCGGUACAAGUUGCCGAACUUCCUCACCCGCAGAGAUAUCGUGAUCUUCUCGGAAAACUAACAUCUCGUGUUAGUUCAAGUAGCGACCCAUCUUUGCCAGUAGAAGGCGCGCCAAGAGCACGUGAAAGGCUGGUCAUGACACUCGCGGCAUUCACACCUCGAACACAGAAAAAGAUACUUGUUAACGUUCAAGCGGUUCAGAUAUUGAUCAACUUUCGCGCGACACAAACGUUGUUCAAACUUGGAACGCUACAGGCAUUUUUCAACUCUGUUACGAGCAAACUUAUACAUAUUCAUUGAAGACAUACGAAA